RNAcentral lists this ribosomal RNA (2961 nucleotides) under Berberis thunbergii. Its description in RNAcentral is "eukaryotic LSU rRNA". It matches the Rfam family "Eukaryotic large subunit ribosomal RNA", at positions 443 to 3249 of the family's 3401-position model. The record is from RNAcentral. Lineage: Eukaryota; Viridiplantae; Streptophyta; Magnoliopsida; Ranunculales; Berberidaceae.
ACGGCUAAAAACCGUUGCUAUUGUUCUUGCAACGGUUUAAAACCGUGGCUAAAUGCUGAAAAUCACCACCCCUCCUCAAGCAUAAAACUGUUGCUAAAAUGUUUAGCAACGGUUUAUAGCCGUUAAAAGGAAUUUCGCGACGCCUCUGUAGCCCACGGCUCUUAGCCGUGACAAUGGGUUACCCCCACGGUUUAAAACCGUUGCUAAUGGGGAUUUUUGGUGUAGUGCUAGCUCAAUUGUUCGAUGACACUUACCAGUAUUGGUCUUGCAUGCUGUCUAAGCUGAGGAAGUUGAGGACUAGUGGCGACCAAUAUUGAUUGUACGAUGAUGCUUGUCGAUCAUGCAUGUUGGCUAGUUGAGGCAAGUUUAAAACUCUAUUGUUUGAUGAUGCUCACAAGUUUUUCGACUUGCAAAAGCAAAUAAAGAGUACGCUAGUUUCAAAUGGACAGGAGCCUGGUCGGGAUUCAACAUACUAUUGUAAGCCCCAACACUUGAGGUGCUUACUUCUAUCCCUUUGGUUUUUUAACUGAUGGGGUCCCUUUCCGACCCAUCUUGAAACACGGACCAAGGAGUAUGACAUGUGUGUGAGUAAAUGAGUACGUAAACUCGUAAGGCGCAAGGAAGCUGAUUGGUGGGAUCCCCUUGUGGGUUGCACCGCCGAUCGACCUAGAGCUUUUAAGAAGGGUUCGAGUUUGAGGAAACCUGUCGAGACCCGAAAAAUGGUGAACUAUGCAUGAGCGGUUCAAAGCCAGAGGAAACUUUGUUGGAUGCCUGCAUCAAUAUUGACGUGCAAAUCAUUCAUCUCAUUUGGGUAUAGGAACAAAAAUACUAAUCGAACCAUCUACUAGUUUGUUUCCUCCGAAGUUUCCCUCAGGAUAGCUGGAUCUCAAACGCGAGUUCUAUCGGGUAAAGCCAAUGAUUAGAGGCAUCUGGGGUGCAGCGCCCUUGACCUAUUCUCAAAUUUUAAUAGGUAGGACGGUGUGACUACUUUAUUGAGCCGUACCAUGGAAUCGAGAGCUCUAUGUGGGCCAUUUUUUGUAAGUUGUACUGGCGAUGUGGAUGAACUGAAAGUCGGGUUACGGUGCCCAAUGAUGCUCUAACCUAAAACCCACAAAUGGUAUUGGUCGAUUAAGAUAGUAGGACGGUGGCCAUGGAAGUCAAAAUCCACUAAGGAGUGUCUAACAACGCACCUGUCGAAUCAAAUAGCCCUGAAAAUGGAUGGCGCUUAUGGUCGUCACCCACACCCGACAAUUGAGGCAAUUAUCAGGCCCUGAUGUGUAGGGGUGCGCGACGGUAGCUACAAAACCUAUGGCAUGAGCCCAAGCGAGGGCUUCCAUGGAUGCAGAUCCAGGUGGUAGUAGCAAAUAUCAAAUUAGAACUUAAAAGGAAAAAUAGGGGAAAGGUUCCAUGUGAACAACACUUGCACAUGGUUUAGUUGAUCCUAAGAGUCGGAUAACCCCGUCAGAGAGAGCAAACUGCAUGAACUUCGAAAGGGAAUCAGGUUAAAAUUCCUGAACAAGGAUGCGACGGCUGACGACAAUUUUAGGAAGUCUGGAGUUGUCGGCAGGGGCUUGGGAAGAGUUAUCUUUUCUAUUUAACAGCUUACCAGACCUGGAAAUGGCUCAGCCAACGGUAGGGUCAUGUGUCUGGAAGAGCAUCGCAUGUCACGUUGUGUUCGGUGCCCCCAUGGCGCACCUUAAAAAUUUGGAGGACUAAGUAUCGAUCGGGCCCGAUCAUACUCAUAACCGAAUUAGGUCUCUAAGGUGCACACCUCUGGUCGAUGGAACAAGGUAGGCAAGGGAAGUCAGCAAAAUGGAUCCGUAACCUCGGGAAAAUGAUUCUCUUUGAGGACUGGGCUCGGGGGUUCCUGUAGGUGGACUGCUCGAGUUACUUCCGCGGCGAGAACAGGUCACUGCAUGCCAACUGGGGAAUGGACUUGGAAUGGUUCCUUCAAGGGCUUUUUCGAGCAUUGAACUAUCAACUUGGAACAGGUACAGAUAAGGGGAAUUUGAUUCUUUAAUUAAAACAAAGCAUUGCGAAGGUCUUUACGGAUGUUAAUGCAUUGUGAUUUUUGCCUAGUGCUCUUAAUGUCAAAGUAAAGAAAUUCAGCCAAGCGCGGGUAAACGGUGGGAAUAACUAUGACUCUCUUAAGGUAGCCAAAUGCCUCGUCGUCUAAUUAGUGACACGCACGAAUGGAUUAACGAGAUUCCCACUGUCCUAUCUACUAUCCAGUGAAACCACAGCCUAGGGAACGUGCUUGGCAGAAUCAACGGGCAAGAAGACCUUGUUGAGUUUGAUUCUAGUUCGACUUUGUGAAAUGACUUGAGAGGUGUAGGAUAACGUUUGCAUCGAAAGCGAUAUACCACUACUUUUAACGUUAUUUUACUUAUUCUGUGAGUCAGAAGUGGGAGUUGCCUUUCUCUUUGGAUCCAAGGGUGGCCCGAUUCGGGCGGAAGACAUUUUUAGGUGGGGAAUUUGGCUGGGCAGCACAUCUGUUAAAAGAUAAUGCAGGUCUUCUAAGAUGAGCUAAACGAGAAAGAAAAUCUCAUGUGGAACAGAAGGGUAAGAGCUUGUUUGAUUCUAAUUACCAGUACGAAUACGAACGUGAAAGUGUGGCCUAUCGAUCCUUUAGAAAAGUAUUGGAUUGUUCGCCCACCAAUAGGGAACGUGAGCUGCGUUUGGGAUAGUGUGAGACUGGUUAUUUUUCCAUACUAAUGAUAGUGUCGUGGUAGUAAUUUAACCUACUAUGAGUGGAACCAUUGAUUCACAUAAUUGGUUAUCGUGUUUGGUUGAAAAGCUAGUGCGCGAAGCUGCCGUGUGCAAGAUUAAGAUUGAGCGCCUCUAAGUAAGAAUCCAGGGUAGAAAAGCGGUGCAUAUGCUCGUCGCCUGAUUGCCAACCUGGAGUAGGGGCCUUUUGGUCCCCAAAGUAAUGUGCCAUUGGUGAAGCUCUAGAUGAGUUGU